RNAcentral lists this ribosomal RNA (301 nucleotides) under uncultured bacterium. Its description in RNAcentral is "partial 16S ribosomal RNA". It matches the Rfam family "Bacterial small subunit ribosomal RNA", at positions 509 to 807 of the family's 1533-position model. The record is from RNAcentral.
CAGUAGCCGCGGUAAAACGUAGGUGGCAAACGUUGUCCGGAAUUAUUGGGCGUAAAGGGCUCGCAGGCGGUUUCUUAAGUCUGAUGUGAAAGCCCCCGGCUCAACCGGGGAGGGUCAUUGGAAACUGGGAAACUUGAGUGCAGAAGAGGAGAGUGGAAUUCCACGUGUAGCGGUGAAAUGCGUAGAGAUGUGGAGGAACACCAGUGGCGAAGGCGACUCUCUGGUCUGUAACUGACGCUGAGGAGCGAAAGCGUGGGGAGCGAACAGGAUUAGAUACCCCAGUAGUCCCUGUCUCUUAUAC